GAAGUGGGAGUCAAAGUGACCCUUGUCUAUUGUGAUGCUGAAUUCAUGACUAAGAGACUAUUGGUGAACUUAUCCUGGCUGUGAUUACAGACGUCAAGAGAGAGUACUGCAGCAACACUAAGAAAAUAAUGCAAGAGAACGCCCGCGAAGAGUGCCCAGGCAACAUUGACAGACUAGAAAAAAAAUAUCAGGAGAUGAAGCUGACACAGUGAGAGCAGCCCAGGUGCUUCUUGGUGCUUGUUAUUACAGACACACACUUCACACAGGGGAGGAUUAUUUUAAUUCUGUGGCCUUCAGAUCUCAUAAAUACAAGUAAAAACAAGCAGAUGAGAAAAUGAAGGCUAGGAGGGCUCAUGUGACUUGUCCAAGGUCAGCUAGGCAGCAAGCAGUGGCACUGAGAUUUAACCCAGUCCCCCCAACUUCAAGAUCCACACUCUUC
Molecule: long non-coding RNA, 439 nt
Organism: Pongo pygmaeus (Bornean orangutan)
Lineage: Eukaryota; Metazoa; Chordata; Mammalia; Primates; Hominidae
Exons: 3
Source: RefSeq, a predicted model, not a curated record